RNAcentral lists this ribosomal RNA (864 nucleotides) under uncultured bacterium. Its description in RNAcentral is "bacterial SSU rRNA". It matches the Rfam family "Bacterial small subunit ribosomal RNA", at positions 8 to 853 of the family's 1533-position model. The record is from RNAcentral.
AGAGUUUGAUCUUGGCUCAGGACGAACGCUGGCGGCGUGCCUGAUACAUGCAAGUAGAACGCUGAAGACUGGUGCUUGCACUAGUCAGAUGAGUUGCGAACGGGUGAGUAACGCGUAGGUAACCUACCUCAUAGCGGGGGAUAACUAUUGGACAACGAUAGCUAAUACCGCAUGACAAUUAAGUACUCAUGUACUAAAUUUAAAAGGAGCAAUUGCUUCACUAUGAGAUGGACCUGCGUUGUAUUAGCUAGUUGGUGAGGUAACGGCUCACCAAGGCCACGAUACAUAGCCGACCUGAGAGGGUGAUCGGCCACACUGGGACUGAGACACGGCCCAGACUCCUACGGGAGGCAGCAGUAGGGAAUCUUCGGCAAUGGGGGCAACCCUGACCGAGCAACGCCGCGUGAGUGAAGAAGGUUUUCGGAUCGUAAAGCUCUGUUGUUAGAGAAGAACGGUAAUGGGAGUGGAAAAUCCAUUACGUGACGGUAACUAACCAGAAAGGGACGGCUAACUACGUGCCAGCAGCCGCGGUAAUACGUAGGUCUCGAGCGUUGUCCGGAUUUAUUGGGCGUAAAGCGAGCGCAGGCGGUUAUUUAAGUCUGAAGUUAAAGGCCGUGGCUCAACCAUGGUUCGCUUUGGAAACUGGAUAACUUGAGUGCAGAAGGGGAGAGUGGAAUUCCAUGUGUAGCGGUGAAAUGCGUAGAUAUAUGGAGGAACACCGGUGGCGAAAGCGGCUCUCUGGUCUGUAACUGACGCUGAGGCUCGAAAGCGUGGGGAGCAAACAGGAUUAGAUACCCUGGUAGUCCACGCCGUAAACGAUGAGUGCUAGGUGUUAGGCCCUUUCCGGGGCUUAGUGCCGCAGCU